UAACACCAGCCCCUCGAGUGGUGGGGAUGAUUAUUUGGCCUAAAGCGUCCGUAGCCGGCCGGAUAAGUCUCCCGUUAAAUCCAGCGUCUCAAGCGUUGGACUGCGGGAGAUACUGUCUGGCUAGAGAGUGGGAGAGGUAUACGGUAUUCUGGGGGUAGGGGCGAAAUCCAUUGAUCCCCGGAGGACCACCAGUGGCGAAGGCUGUGUACUAGAACACGUCUGACGGUCAGGGACGAAAGCUGGGGUAGCGAACCGGAUUAGAUACCCGGGUAGUCCCAGCCGUAAACGAUGCACGCUAGGUGUUGGGUCGGCCACGAGCCGCCCCAGUGCCGCAGGGAAGCCAUUAAGCGUGCCGCCUGGGGAGUACGGCCGCAAGGCUG
Molecule: ribosomal RNA, 380 nt
Filed under: uncultured archaeon
Lineage: Archaea
Description: bacterial SSU rRNA
Rfam family: Archaeal small subunit ribosomal RNA
Source: RNAcentral